AGUGAACGCUGGCGGCAGGCCUAACACAUGCAAGUCGAACGGACGCACAGUGAUUGCUUGCUGUUACGGGUGGAGAGUGGCGGAAGGGUCCGGUAUACAUCGGAUUACACUUUUUCGUGGGUGCUAACGUCGGGAAACUUACGCUAAUGCAGCAUAAGACCUACUUGUGGAAGCAGGGGAUCUUCGAACCUUUUGCGAUUGGAUGUGGCGAUGUCGGGUUAGCUAGUUGGCGGGGUAAAGGCUUACCAAGGCGACGAUCCGUAGCGGGUCUGAGAGGAAGAUCAGGCACAUGGGAACUGAGACAGGUCCCAGACACCUACGGUAGGCAGCAGUGGGGAAUAUUGCACGAUGGGCGAAUGCCGGAUCCAGCCAUAUGGCGUAGGGGAUGAAGGACCUAUGGCGGUAAAGUGCUGUAGGUGGGAAGGAAGUACAGUACUUUAACCCGCCGCGGUACUGACGGUACCCAAAGAAGAAGCACCGGCUAACUUCGUG
RNAcentral lists this ribosomal RNA (492 nucleotides) under uncultured bacterium. Its description in RNAcentral is "partial 16S ribosomal RNA". It matches the Rfam family "Bacterial small subunit ribosomal RNA", at positions 29 to 507 of the family's 1533-position model. The record is from RNAcentral.